AUUGAACGCUGGCGGAAUGCUUUACACAUGCAAGUCGAACGGCAGCACGGACUUCGGUCUGGUGGCGAGUGGCGAACGGGUGAGUAAUGUAUCGGAACGUGCCCAGUCGUGGGGGAUAACGUAGUGAAAAUUACGCUAAUACCGCAUACGAUCUAUGGAUGAAAGCGGGGGAUCGCAAGACCUCGCGCGAUUGGAGCGGCCGAUAUCAGAUCAGGUAGUUGGUGGGGUAAAGGCCCACCAAGCCAACGAUCUGUAGCUGGUCUGAGAGGACGACCAGCCACACUGGAACUGAGACAGGGUCCAGACUCCUACGGGAGGCAGCAGUGGGGAAUUUUGGACAAUGGGCGAAAGCCUGAUCCAGCCAUUCCGCGUGCAGGAUGGAGGCCCUCGGGUUGUAAACUGCUUUUGUACAGAACGAAAAGGUUUCUACUAAUACUAGGAGCUCAUGACGGUACUGUAAGAAUAAGCACCGGCUAACUACGUGCCAGCCGCCGCCGUAA
This 500-nucleotide ribosomal RNA is filed under the name uncultured bacterium. Its description in RNAcentral is "partial 16S ribosomal RNA". It matches the Rfam family "Bacterial small subunit ribosomal RNA", at positions 30 to 523 of the family's 1533-position model. The record is from RNAcentral.